AUGAAGGCUGCACAAUUCGGACCUUGGUCAGAUCUUCCUACGGAACUCCUGGGCCUUGUCCUAAAGCGCCUCAAUUCCCUGGCUGACCGUGUUCGUCUGAGAGCAGUCUGUCACCCAUGGCGCUCUAAUAGUAUGUUGCAGAAUCUUCCCCUCCCAUUCCCUUGGCUCACCCUCACCGAUGGAACCUUCCUCAGCAUCCAAGGGAGUGAGGUUCACCGCAUGCCUCUGCCAGAUGGUGCUCGUUGGCACGGCUCCAUUGACAACAGGCUAUUCCUCAUAAGCUGUGAUGGUGCGUGUUCAUUGCUGAACCCUUUUUCCAAGAGCACAAUGGAGCUUCCUAAUCUUGCAAGUGUUUGGCAGCGCGAGAUAGAUAACCAUGCUGAAUAUACUGAUGAUCCAGUUUCCUAUAAGUUAGUGGCGCCCUCGCCACUGGAAUCAUCACCCAAGUCCCUUGUUGCUGCGUUGAUCAUCGGCAAUUGUUAUUCUGUUGAUCUUUGUGUUGUUCAACCACCUGCCACCACUUACUCAUUCAGAGGUAUACGUACUGCACUGGGGGAGCCACCAACAUUAGUGGACCUUGCAUUCUUGGAUGGAAGGCUGUACGUGGUAUCUGGAUUUUUCAAGCUUUUCGUCGUUGAUUUUGUGGAAUGUGGUGGUAGGCUACUGAUGGUGCAAAGAUUUACACACUCACAGGGUUUUGGGAAUUCUCACACUGUUGGAUUUAAUGUCCUUGAGGCAGACUUGCGCACUAACCCUGGUCAGUGGAGAACGGUGAGUGAUUUGGGUGGCCACGCGCUCUUUCUUGGUAAGCAAAGCUCAAAGUCCCUGCCUGCUGGAGAAUGCAGUGGAUCCCAGGAGGACUGCAUCUACUUCAUCUGCGAUUAUCCUUGUCCAGAGUCUUCUGCAGAACCUCUUCGCGACGCUGGCAUAUACAACGUGAGAAGUGGGAUGAUAAUGCCAUUGCAUUUAAAGAAUCCUGCAGUACCGCAACGCCAAGCUGGUCAGUGGGGCCUGACCUGGUUUUUUCCUUCUGAAGCUAUAUGA
This 1044-nucleotide ribosomal RNA is filed under the name Triticum aestivum (bread wheat). RNAcentral describes it as "partial small subunit ribosomal RNA". The record is from RNAcentral. Lineage: Eukaryota; Viridiplantae; Streptophyta; Magnoliopsida; Poales; Poaceae.